UUCCGGUUGAUCCCGCCGGACCUGACUGCUAUCGGAUUGAUACUAAGCCAUGCGAGUCAUUGUAGCAAUACAAGGCAGACGGCUCAGUAACGCGUAGUCAACCUAACCUAUGGAUGGGAAUAACCUCGGGAAACUGAGAAUAAUGCCCGAUAGAACACUAUACCUGGAAUGGUUUGUGUUCCAAAUGAUUUAUCGCCGUAGGAUGGGACUGCGGCCUAUCAGUUUGUUGGUGGGGUAAUGGCCCACCAAGACUAUUACAGGUACGGGCUCUGAGAGGAGUAGCCCGGAGAUGGGUACUGAGACACGGACCCAGGCCCUAUGGGGCGCAGCAGGCGAGAAAACUUUGCAAUGUGCGCAAGCACGACAAGGUUAAUCCGAGUGUUUCCUGCUAAAGGAAUCUUUUGUUAGUUGUAAAACCACUGAUGAAUAAGGGGUGGGCAAGUUCUGGUGUCAGCCGCCGCGGUAAAACCAGCACCUCAAGUGGUCAGGAUGAUUAUUGGGCCUAAAGCAUCCGUAGCCUGUUCCGAAAGUUUCCGGUUAAAUCCAUUAACUCAACUAAUGGGCUGCCGAAAAUACUGCAGAACUAGGGAGUGGGAGAGGUAGACGGUACUCGGUAGGAAGGGGUAAAAUCCUUUGAUCUAUUGAUGACCACCUGUGGCGAAGGCGGUCUACCAGAACACGUUCGACGGUGAGGGAUGAAAGCUGGGGGAGCAAACCGGAUUAGAUACCCGGGUAGUCCCAGCUGUAAACGAUGCAAACUCGGUGCUGCCCUGGCUUGUGGCCAGUGCAGUGCCGCAGGGAAGCCGUUAAGUUUGCCGCCUGGGAAGUACGUACGCAAGUAUGAAACUUAAAGGAAUUGGCGGGGGACCCCCACAAAGGGGUGGAAGCCUGCGGUUCAAUUGGAGUCAACGGCGGG
Molecule: ribosomal RNA, 916 nt
Filed under: uncultured archaeon
Lineage: Archaea
Description: bacterial SSU rRNA
Rfam family: Archaeal small subunit ribosomal RNA
Source: RNAcentral